Molecule: long non-coding RNA, 281 nt
Filed under: Lathyrus oleraceus (garden pea)
Lineage: Eukaryota; Viridiplantae; Streptophyta; Magnoliopsida; Fabales; Fabaceae
Description: Pisum sativum (pea) long non-coding RNA (PSAT_LNC010211)
Source: RNAcentral
UAUAGGGGUUUGAUGAAGAGACCGUUGGAUGAAGGGAUCUUGGAAAUGAUGGAUGAUUAAUGUCAUUAAUCUUUGUGUUCUUUCCAUAGAAGUUUGGGCGCUUUAACUUUCUUCCAAAGUUAGAUUCUUGCCAUAAGUGGAAGACUUCAUAGCUAAGUCUUUAUUGAUAGUUUCUGAAUCAGAGUGUUUAGAAAUCAGAGUUUUUGUUCAGCAUGUGCAUCUUCAGAUAGUUGUAGACAACUGAUUGACUUCAGAGGUUAGAACUUCUACUUGAGCGUCUG